RNAcentral lists this ribosomal RNA (224 nucleotides) under Paenibacillus typhae. RNAcentral describes it as "partial 16S ribosomal RNA". It matches the Rfam family "Bacterial small subunit ribosomal RNA", at positions 561 to 784 of the family's 1533-position model. The record is from RNAcentral. Lineage: Bacteria; Bacillati; Bacillota; Bacilli; Caryophanales; Paenibacillaceae.
UAAAGCGCGCGCAGGCGCGCUAUUUAAGUCUGGUGUUUAAACCUUGGGCUCAACCUGAGGUCGCACUGGAAACUGGGUGGCUUGAGUACAGAAGAGGAAAGUGGAAUUCCACGUGUAGCGGUGAAAUGCGUAGAGAUGUGGAGGAACACCAGUGGCGAAGGCGACUUUCUGGGCUGUAACUGACGCUGAGGCGCGAAAGCGUGGGGAGCAAACAGGAUUAGAUA